UUUGUCAUGCUUACACCGGCAGACGGCAUCACUUGCUCCUCCUUCUUGCUAUUGGUGGCCGAUCUGAGAAGCUACAAUGGACAGAGGCAGACCAUGAGGAUCAGAACGGCCAGAUCAGGUGCCGCCGGCUGGGGACCUGCCACUGGUCCUGCAAAUGUUGGCCUCACAUUGAUUCCGGACCUCGAGAAAAAAGAUGCAAUAGUUCUUCCGGGUGGAAUCAUUCACUGGCUCGUUCAGUAUUGCUAUGGAAUCCUUCAAUAUGAUGUCUCCACAACAAAGGCAGGUACGCUAAAGCUUCCACCUAUCACCAGAAACAACGCAAACAGGCGCAACCUAGGGUUGGGAAUGUCGCCGGGCGGGAGGUUGCGCUUACUCGUCCUAGAUAUGUUCAAGAUUUCUAUGUGGCUACAAGUCUCACCCAAAGAUGGUGGUUGGGAGCCGGAGGCCAUAAUCGACACCGAGGAGAAGUUGCAGUUGCUGGUUCCUAACAUCCAGGCUAUGAUAAACCCUAGUUAUGUGUCCAUCGAGUUCAUGUAUUCCGGAGAAAGGAGCGGUGUGGUGUUGCUGCGUGUAAAUUCCCUAGUCAUCAUUCUUGAUGUGGAGACAAAGGAGAUGCACCAUCAAGAUUAUUCCGCCAACUCCACAUUGUUGGGGGUUGAUCUGCUAUCACGACUACAGACCAUGAAAAUAUUU
Molecule: ribosomal RNA, 693 nt
Filed under: Triticum aestivum (bread wheat)
Lineage: Eukaryota; Viridiplantae; Streptophyta; Magnoliopsida; Poales; Poaceae
Description: partial small subunit ribosomal RNA
Source: RNAcentral